UGAAUUGACGGGGCCGCACAAGCGGUGGAGCACGUGGUUUAAUUCGAUGCAACGCGAAGAACCUUACCUGGGCUUGACAUCCCGGGAAUCCCUUGGAAACAAGGGAGUGCCUUCGGGGAACCUGGAGACAGGUGCUGCAUGGCUGUCGUCAGCUCGUGUCGUGAGAUGUUGGGUUAAGUCCCGCAACGAGCGCAACCCUUGUCAUUAGUUGCCAUCAUUUGGUUGGGCACUCUAAUGAGACUGCCGGUGACAAACCGGAGGAAGGUGGGGAUGACGUCAAGUCCUCAUGGCCCUUAUAGGUGGGGCUACACACGUCAUACAAUGGAUGGUACAAAGGGUCGCCAACCCGCGAGGGGGAGCCAAUCCCAUAAAGCCAUUCGUAGUCCGGAUCGCAGUCUGCAACUCGACUGCGUGAAGUCGGAAUCGCUAGUAAUCGUGGAUCAGAAUGUCACGGUGAAUACGUUCCCGGGCCUU
RNAcentral lists this ribosomal RNA (474 nucleotides) under uncultured Smithella sp. RNAcentral describes it as "bacterial SSU rRNA". It matches the Rfam family "Bacterial small subunit ribosomal RNA", at positions 907 to 1382 of the family's 1533-position model. The record is from RNAcentral. Lineage: Bacteria; Pseudomonadati; Thermodesulfobacteriota; Syntrophia; Syntrophales; Smithellaceae.